ACAGCAGUAGCCGCGGGAAAACAGAGGGUGCGAGCGUUAAUCGGAUUUACUGGGCGUAAAGCGUGCGUAGGCGGCUUCUUAAGUCGGAUGUGAAAUCCCUGAGCUUAACUUAGGAAUUGCAUUCGAUACUGGGAAGCUAGAGUAUGGGAGAGGAUGGUAGAAUUCCAGGUGUAGCGGUGAAAUGCGUAGAGAUCUGGAGGAAUACCGAUGGCGAAGGCAGCCAUCUGGCCUAAUACUGACGCUGAGGUACGAAAGCAUGGGGAGCAAACAGGAUUAGAUACCCCGGUAGUCCCUGUCUCUUAUAC
Molecule: ribosomal RNA, 305 nt
Filed under: uncultured bacterium
Lineage: Bacteria
Description: partial 16S ribosomal RNA
Rfam family: Bacterial small subunit ribosomal RNA
Source: RNAcentral